UAAAAAAAAAAAAAGAGAAAAAAUUGGAGAAAAGAUUAAAAAGAGAGUCCAUGGUCAAAACUGCCAUAAAACUUCCAAUUUAAGAAAAAAAAAAUUUCUCCAGUCAUCUUCCACCGCUGAUAACAACCAUCUAACGCCGCAUCAGAACACACGCAUCACCUCAUAGAGAACCAAUCCACUAAAUCGCCACCUACGCGCCUCUGCGUGAAUACCACGUGCUGAAUGGAGACGAGUGGCGAGCGGCACAGUGGGCAAUUGAAAUUGCGAUGAUCAAGCCAUCCAUCAAAGCAUUCCUUGUGAAAGACAUGGCGGCAAUCAAGCUUCCUGACCUGGUCCCCAUCUCUUAGCGUGCACAAGCACACCACACAAUCCGAUCCUCCCUUAUUGCUAUCAUCGCCUCCUCCACAACAGUACUUGUAAGAGAAAACGCGGUUGAUAUUGAGCUGCUCGGCUAGGACGAUGAGGCCACCAAGGCCAGAACCCGUUGAGCCAAGGAGGCCAUCAUCGAUUACGCCAUGGGAAGAACCUAAUCGGGAAAGACCCAAGGAGUGGAAGAGGGUGAAAAAUAAAGAGCGGAGAUGAUCGACGUAUUUGGCUAUGAGUGCUAGGAGCAAUAAGGGGAUAGAAUCAGACGAUACGUCGUUUAGCUGGUUCUGUAAGCCCAUCUUGUUGCUCUGUUUUAUGCGUGUGGAAAGGAAAGGAAAGACGAAUUUUUAUUUUAUUUUUUUCUUAUAAAAAGAGAAGGCCGUGUAUAUUUAUAAGCAGAGAGUUUAUAAGGAGAGAGAGAGAGAGAGAG
RNAcentral lists this unclassified non-coding RNA (796 nucleotides) under Hevea brasiliensis (rubber tree). Lineage: Eukaryota; Viridiplantae; Streptophyta; Magnoliopsida; Malpighiales; Euphorbiaceae. The record is from RNAcentral.